ACCGCAGGCCAAAUGGUCGCUGUUUCGUAUGCAAAUGCGAAAUGGAGGAAAGUCCGGGCUUUAUAUGCCUGCCUGCCACGUGAAUUUUAUGCUAAAUGAAUUAGCAAAGGUUUACGUGGUGGGUAGGCACGUUUGUGUUGCUUUAUUGACUUAAGGCAAUGCAGGCGGGAUACCAUGCUGGGUAACUCCCAUGCUCGAUGUUAUUAUCAGGAAAUGUCGGGACGGAAAGUGCAACAGAAAGGAUGUACAGGGCGCUUGAGUCAUUAUUAUCAUGAUAAUGGCAAUGCUGCUGUAGUGAAAACAGGUAAACCCCAUGGAAAGCAAGAUCAAACACUCAGCGCUUUCUCUUUUUAAGAGAAAGGGAAGUGAUCCGCUUCUUUCUUAUGAAUGCUGAGGGGUAGAUCGCUAAAGGCUGUUGGUAACAACAGUAUCUAGAUAAAUGACCAUUCAGCUCGCAGAGAUGCGAGUCAGACAAAACCCGGCUUAUAGGCUUGCGUUUUCC
Molecule: RNase P RNA, 502 nt
Filed under: Deltaproteobacteria bacterium CG07_land_8_20_14_0_80_38_7
Lineage: Bacteria; Deltaproteobacteria
Description: RNase P RNA component class A
Rfam family: Bacterial RNase P class A
About the family: Ribonuclease P (RNase P) is a ubiquitous endoribonuclease, found in archaea, bacteria and eukarya as well as chloroplasts and mitochondria. Its best characterised activity is the generation of mature 5'-ends of tRNAs by cleaving the 5'-leader elements of precursor-tRNAs.
Source: RNAcentral